AUGGAUGAGCUCCGGCUGAUCCAGUUUGGGCAUCGAGCAGCCAUGAUUGAGCUCCGGCGCCGUCGGCUUGAGCAUCAGGCACGCAUCAGAGAGAGAUGGGAGAGAUUGGGGAAGGCACCAACCUCAGAGAGAGAUGGGAGAGAUAGGAGAGGGCACUGCCGGCAGCGGAGCUCACGGGCGAGGGACAUGGACCGCACCUCCAUGCUCACCGUCGGUGGAUUUGCCUCGUUGAUGCGCAGCUCCGGCCGGAGCUCAUCCAUGGCCGCCGUUGUCGCGCCUCCUCUUCACGCCUACGCGGGCCGCCGUCGCGCGUCCUCUUCUCCUCGCCGGAGCCGAUGCAGGUGA
RNAcentral lists this ribosomal RNA (345 nucleotides) under Triticum aestivum (bread wheat). RNAcentral's name for it is "partial small subunit ribosomal RNA". The record is from RNAcentral. Lineage: Eukaryota; Viridiplantae; Streptophyta; Magnoliopsida; Poales; Poaceae.